UAUGAACGCUGGCGGCGUGCCUAAUACAUGCAAGUCGAGCGAACAGACGAGGAGCUUGCUCCUCUGACGUUAGCGGCGGACGGGUGAGUAACACGUGGAUAACCUACCUAUAAGACUGGGAUAACUUCGGGAAACCGGAGCUAAUACCGGAUAAUAUAUUGAACCGCAUGGUUCAAUAGUGAAAGACGGUUUUGCUGUCACUUAUAGAUGGAUCCGCGCCGCAUUAGCUAGUUGGUAAGGUAACGGCUUACCAAGGCGACGAUGCGUAGCCGACCUGAGAGGGUGAUCGGCCACACUGGAACUGAGACACGGUCCAGACUCCUACGGGAGGCAGCAGUAGGGAAUCUUCCGCAAUGGGCGAAAGCCUGACGUAGCAACGCCGCGUGAGUGAUGAAGGUCUUCGGAUCGUAAAACUCUGUUAUUAGGGAAGAACAAAUGUGUAAGUAACUAUGCACGUCUUGACGGUACCUAAUCAGAAAGCCACGGCUAACUACGUG
This 497-nucleotide ribosomal RNA is filed under the name uncultured bacterium. RNAcentral's name for it is "partial 16S ribosomal RNA". It matches the Rfam family "Bacterial small subunit ribosomal RNA", at positions 29 to 507 of the family's 1533-position model. The record is from RNAcentral.